Molecule: ribosomal RNA, 1488 nt
Filed under: uncultured rumen bacterium
Lineage: Bacteria
Description: bacterial SSU rRNA
Rfam family: Bacterial small subunit ribosomal RNA
Source: RNAcentral
AGAGUUUGAUCCUGGCUCAGGAUGAACGCUGGCGGCGUGCCUAACACAUGCAAGUCGAACGGAGUAACGAGAGUUUACUUUUGUUACUUAGUGGCGGACGGGUGAGUAAUGCGUGAGCAACCUGCCUUUCAGAGGGGGACAACAGUUGGAAACGACUGCUAAUACCGCAUAACAUACACGGAUGGCAUCGUCUGUGUAUCAAAGGAGCAAUCCGCUGAAAGAUGGGCUCACGUCUGAUUAGCUGGUUGGCGGGGUAACGGCCCACCAAGGCGGCGAUCAGUAGCCGGACUGAGAGGUUGAACGGCCACAUUGGAACUGAGACACGGUCCAGACUCCUACGGGAGGCAGCAGUGAGGAAUAUUGGACAAUGGCCGGAAGGCUGAUCCAGCCAUGCCGCGUGCGGGAGGACGGCCCUAUGGGUUGUAAACCGCUUUUGCGGGGGAGCAAUAAGAGUCACGCGUGGCUCGAUGAGAGUACCCUGCGAAUAAGCAUCGGCUAACUCCGUGCCAGCAGCCGCGGUAAUACGGAGGAUGCAAGCGUUAUCCGGAUUUAUUGGGUUUAAAGGGUGCGUAGGCGGCGCGUUAAGCGUGAGGUGAAAGCUCGGGGCUCAACCCCGGAACUGCCUCGCGAACUGGCGUGCUGGAAUGCUCCUGCCGUGGGAGGAAUGUGUGGUGUAGCGGUGAAAUGCAUAGAGAUCACACAGAACACCGAUUGCGAAGGCAUCUCACGAAGGGGUGAUUGACGCUGAGGCACGAAAGCGUGGGGAUCAAACAGGAUUAGAUACCCUGGUAGUCCACGCAGUAAACGAUGAUAACUAACCGCUGGGGUGAAAAUUUCAGUGGCCAAGCGAAAGCGAUAAGUUAUCCACCUGGGGAGUACGACCGCAAGGUUGAAACUCAAAGGAAUUGACGGGGGCCCGCACAAGCGGAGGAACAUGUGGUUUAAUUCGAUGAUACGCGAGGAACCUUACCCGGGCUCGAACGGCUGGUGAAGAGAUCCAGAGAUGGUGACGUCCUUCGGGACACCAGUCGAGGUGCUGCAUGGUUGUCGUCAGCUCGUGCCGUGAGGUGUCGGCUCAAGUGCCAUAACGAGCGCAACCCUUGCCGUCAGUUACCAGCACGUCGUGGUGGGGACUCUGGCGGGACUGCCACCGCAAGGUGAGAGGAAGGGGGGGAUGACGUCAAAUCAGCACGGCCCUUACGUCCGGGGCGACACACGUGUUACAAUGGCGGCCACAGAGGGGCACUACCUGGUGACAGGAUGGGAAUCUCGAAAAGCCGUCUCAGUCCGGAUCGGAGUCUGCAACCCGACUCCGUGAAGCUGGAUUCGCUAGUAAUCGCGCAUCAGCCAUGGCGCGGUGAAUACGUUCCCGGGCCUUGUACACACCGCCCGUCAAGCCAUGAAAGUCUGGGGCGCCUGAAGUUCGUGACCGCAAGGAGCGACCUAGGGCGAAACAGGUAAUUGGGGCUAAGUCGUAACAAGGUAACC